UGACUAAAUUGCCUGUGAUAGUUUGAAUGC
Molecule: non-coding RNA, 30 nt
Filed under: Mus musculus (house mouse)
Lineage: Eukaryota; Metazoa; Chordata; Mammalia; Rodentia; Muridae
Source: RNAcentral